UCGAGAAUUUUUCUCAAUGGGGGAAACCCUGAAGGAGCGACGCCGCGUGGAGGAUGAAGGUCUUCGGGUUGUAAACUCCUGUCAUUUGGGAACAAGUCGCCGAACGUAACUGCUUCGGCGUUGAUAGUACCAGAAGAGGAAGAGACGGCUAACUCUGUGCCAGCAGCCGCGGUAAUACAGAGGUCUCAAGCGUUGUUCGGAUUCAUUGGGCGUAAAGGGUGCGUAGGUGGCGCCGUAAGUCAGGUGUGAAAUCUCGGGGCUUAACUCCGAAACUGCAUUUGAUACUGCGGUGCUUGAGGACUGGAGAGGAGACUGGAAUUCAUGGUGUAGCAGUGAAAUGCGUAGAGAUCAUGAGGAAGACCAGUGGCGAAGGCGGGUCUCUGGACAGUUCCUGACACUGAGGCACGAAGGCCAGGGGAGCAAACGGGAUUAGAUACCCCUGUAGUCC
RNAcentral lists this ribosomal RNA (448 nucleotides) under uncultured bacterium. Its description in RNAcentral is "bacterial SSU rRNA". It matches the Rfam family "Bacterial small subunit ribosomal RNA", at positions 355 to 796 of the family's 1533-position model. The record is from RNAcentral.